UGCGUAGGUGGUGGGAUAAGUCUCGUGUGAAAGCUCGCAGCUUAACUGCGAAAAGUCACGGGGUACUAUUCUGCUGGAGGCUUGGAGGGGGGACGUGGAAUACUUGGUGUAGCAGUGAAAUGCGUAGAUAUCAAGUGGAACACCAGUGGCGAAGGCGAGUCCCUGGACAAGACCUGACACUGAGGCACGAAAGCCAGGGGAGCAAACA
This 208-nucleotide ribosomal RNA is filed under the name uncultured bacterium. RNAcentral describes it as "partial 16S ribosomal RNA". It matches the Rfam family "Bacterial small subunit ribosomal RNA", at positions 568 to 774 of the family's 1533-position model. The record is from RNAcentral.